UAGCACAGAGAAAGGAAGCUGCCCAUACCUUAGAGAAUAAAUCCUUCACCUACCAGAUUUUCACUGUAAACCUGAACUUCUAAAUACUCAAAAGUUAGGAAAUGGAAAAGUAUAAACUUCAUAUGGAGUAAUGGAGAUACAGAGAAAAAUCAGUAACUUGCCUAAGGUCACAUACCAGAUCAGCUACAGAGCUGAGGGUGGAACUCAGGUCUUUUAAAAUGUAUGUAUUUUCAGAAACAUUCAGCAAUUGUUAUUGAAGCAGUUGGAGCAAAGACUUACACCCUUAAGUUCCAUCUACUUCUAUCUGCUCUGUUAAUAAACCUUUAGUUAGUUAAUUACAGGACUGGCUAUAGGUGUCUUUGGUGUGAGAUCUAACAUACAAACCGGUCUGGGGGUAAUGAAAUGUACAAGAAUCUCACCCACUCAGAAGGCUGAGGCAAACAGCAUGUUCCUACCUCUUUCCUUUGGAUAUUGCUGAUGCCACACAGUGGCUGAUGAUGAUUUCAACAUAUGCCAGCCAAGAGAUGCAGAGUAUACCAAGCAGCUGCCAUUCCUAUGAUCGUGAAGAGCCAAGAUGAAACAGGCUCUAACCUUGAGGAGAAGAGACAGAGACAUGGAGGUCUUGCUGGAAGAAGGUGAACAAAAUAAUUGCAAUAGUCACUCACAUGGGGAGGGUGACCAGGAUACUCAGAGAGGAAUUGGGACAGGAAUGUUUCCUGCUCAAGUACCAAACAAGAUACUAGGGCAGAAAUUUGUGAUGAGGCAGAAAGAACCUAAAUUGGAUGGCAAGGUGAAUGGGGAAACUCACCUGAUACAGUUUGAAAUAGCAAGUGAGCUGAACUGCUGCUCAGAGGAAGAGAAGAGGAAGUAUUUAGCUAUGAGACUGACUGGGAAAACCUUGCCAAUUCUUCCCUCCAUCAGUGAAGAUGGAUUUGCAAUUACCCUGCUAUCAGGUCUGGGAUGGAGAAAGAGCAGAGGUGGCUUGCAUCCAGUUCUAGACAC
This is a long non-coding RNA of Mauremys reevesii (Reeves's turtle), 1002 nucleotides long. RefSeq lists it as uncharacterized. The record is from RefSeq and is a predicted model, not a curated record. Lineage: Eukaryota; Metazoa; Chordata; Testudines; Geoemydidae. The transcript has 5 exons.